Molecule: ribosomal RNA, 374 nt
Filed under: uncultured organism
Description: partial 16S ribosomal RNA
Rfam family: Bacterial small subunit ribosomal RNA
Source: RNAcentral
GUAGGUGGCAAGCGUUGUCCGGAAUUAUUGGGCGUAAAGCGCGCGCAGGCGGUCCUUUAAGUCUGAUGUGAAAGCCCACGGCUCAACCGUGGAGGGUCAUUGGAAACUGGGGGACUUGAGUACAGAAGAGGAAAGCGGAAUUCCAAGUGUAGUGGUGAAAUGCGUAGAGAUUUGGAGGAACACCAGUGGCGAAGGCGGCUUUCUGGUCUGUAACUGACGCUGAGGCGCGAAAGCGUGGGGAGCAAACAGGAUUAGAUACCCUGGUAGUCCACGCCGUAAACGAUGAGUGCUAAGUGUUAGGGGGUUUCCCGCCCCCCUUAGUGCUGCAGCUAACGCAUUAAGCACUCCGCCUGGGGAGUACGGCCGCAAGGCUG